RNAcentral lists this ribosomal RNA (406 nucleotides) under uncultured bacterium. RNAcentral's name for it is "partial 16S ribosomal RNA". It matches the Rfam family "Bacterial small subunit ribosomal RNA", at positions 30 to 526 of the family's 1533-position model. The record is from RNAcentral.
AUUGAACGCUGGCGGCAGGCUUAACACAUGCACGUCGAGCGAGCGUCGGACGGGUGAGUAAUUUCUGGGAAACUGCCUGAUGGAGGGGGAUAACUACUGGAAACGGUAGCUAAUACCUCCUACCAUCAGAUGUGCCCAUAUGGUAUUAGCUCGUCGGUGGGGUAAUGGCUCACCUAGGCGACGAUCCCUAUCUGGUCUGAGAGGAUGACCAGCCACACUGGAACUGAGACACGGUCCAGACUCCUACGGGAGGCAGCAGUGGGGAAUAUUGCACAAUGGGCGCAAGCCUGAUGCAGCCAUGCCGCGUGUGUGAAGAAGGCCUUCGGGUUGUAAAGUACUUUCAGCGAGGAGGCGUUACUCGCAGAAGAAGCACCGGCUAACUCCGUGCCAGCAGCCGCGGUAAUAC